Molecule: ribosomal RNA, 459 nt
Filed under: uncultured bacterium
Lineage: Bacteria
Description: bacterial SSU rRNA
Rfam family: Bacterial small subunit ribosomal RNA
Source: RNAcentral
GACGACGCUGGCGGCGUGCCUAACACAUGCAAGUCGAACGGGGUGAUUUCCUUCGGGAGAUCACUUAGUGGCGAACGGGUGAGUAACGCGUGAGAAACCUGCCCUCUACUCCGGAACAGCCCGUCGAAAGGCGGAUUAAUGCCGGAUGGUGUCACAUGCCCGCAUGGGCGUGUGACUAAAGGCAACGGUAGAGGAUGGGGAUGCGACUGAUUAGCUAGUAGGUGAGGUAAAGGCUCACCUAGGCGACGAUCUCUAGCUGGUCUGAGAGGAUGAUCAGCCACAUUGGGACUGAGACACGGCCCAGACUCCUACGGGAGGCAGCAGUGGGGAAUAUUGCACAAUGGGGGAAACCCUGAUGCAGCAACGCCGCGUGAGUGAUGACGGCCUUCGGGUUGUAAAGCUCUGUCUUCAGGGACGAUAAUGACGGUACCUGAGGAGGAAGCCACGGCUAACUACGUG